RNAcentral lists this ribosomal RNA (512 nucleotides) under uncultured bacterium. RNAcentral's name for it is "bacterial SSU rRNA". It matches the Rfam family "Bacterial small subunit ribosomal RNA", at positions 274 to 802 of the family's 1533-position model. The record is from RNAcentral.
CGACGAUCAGUAGCCGGCUUGAGAGAGUGGACGGCCACAUUGGGACUGAGACACGGCCCAAACUCCUACGGGAGGCAGCAGUGGGGAAUAUUGCACAAUGGGGGAAACCCUGAUGCAGCGACGCCGCGUGAGUGAAGAAGUAUUUCGGUAUGUAAAGCUCUAUCAGCAGGGAAGAAAAAAGACGGUACCUGACUAAGAAGCCCCGGCUAACUACGUGCCAGCAGCCGCGGUAAUACGUAGGGGGCAAGCGUUAUCCGGAAUUACUGGGUGUAAAGGGUGCGUAGGUGGCAUGGUAAGUCAGAAGUGAAAGCCCGGGGCUUAACCCCGGGACUGCUUUUGAAACUGUCAUGCUGGAGUGCAGGAGAGGUAAGCGGAAUUCCUAGUGUAGCGGUGAAAUGCGUAGAUAUUAGGAGGAACACCAGUGGCGAAGGCGGCUUACUGGACUGUCACUGACACUGAUGCACGAAAGCGUGGGGAGCAAACAGGAUUAGAUACCCUGGUAGUCCACGCCG